ACUCACACAACUCAUUCUCAUUCCCAUUAUCAUCUCUCCCACAACCCUAGCAACCACUUAACCCUAACCCAUCUUCUUCCUCAUUCUCCAUCCUCUCCACCUCCUUUCUCUAUUAAUCAGCUAGCCUUCCAUCUCCAAUCUCCCUCAAGCAAUCUCAUCUCCACAAAAACCAAACCCAAAAUCCCUAGUCAUCCUCUUUAUCCUCUCUUCUUCAGGCUAUGAGCAAGAAGAAAGAAGAAGAAGAAGAUCAGUUUGGCAAAAAAAAAAAAAAACAAAAAAAAAACAAUGAAGAAGAACCUGUAGAGCUCACAUUCAGUCAAGGUAGAACCCCCUCUCUCUAUCUCACCGAACCCAUCUCUCCACUCACCUUCCCCCAUCAACCACUGAAUCCCAUCUCCACUGCCACCUUCUUCUUCUCCACUAUCUCAUAAUUCCUCCAUUACUCUCCUCUCAUCCAUCUAAAAAACCCCAACCGAACCCUUCUCUCCUUCACUCUCUCCCAAGAACCUCCAUAACCAAAUCAUUUUCUCUCAUCUUCAUCCUGUUCCUUACACUAUCAAACCUAAACCAAAUCGUCAUCUAUCCCCUUCAUUCAGUCCAAAUAACCCCAUCAAAAAAGAGAGAAAAGCAAGGAGACAAGGGACUUUCAUUCGACCAAGAGAGGCUUAACUCAAGUUUGGAAUAUUAACAAUCCAGUUCAUUGCAGCCCAAUAAUCCACUCAAUCAAAGGUUAUAUAGAGGAAAAAAUAGUGUGAAUCGUUGGAAGAUUUGAAUGGAAAUUACAUGUCUUUGUGACGCCUUAGCUAGCUGAAGUUGCCACGUGAUUUUCCUUUGUGGCCAGUAACUUCAGACCACGUUGACAUACGUCACCACAACCGCAUCACGAAGAGGCCUCACAAGGAAGCAGAGUCCCAUAUGGAUAAGGAGACACGGCUUGUUGGGAAGAGUGGGACCUUCCAAGAACCUCGAUGGGCGACUUCUUCCCGACAACCCCACGGACCUCAUCUGACUACAACACGAAUGUUCAUUCUAUAUAAAGACAUCUCUCCCUUAAGAUAAGCUCUCUAUGAUUUAGCACACAUUACUUUCCUCAGUACUUUUCCGUGAAAAAUUCGU
Long non-coding RNA from Nelumbo nucifera (sacred lotus), 1116 nucleotides. RefSeq lists it as uncharacterized. The record is from RefSeq and is a predicted model, not a curated record. NCBI's taxonomy places the organism in Eukaryota, Viridiplantae, Streptophyta, Magnoliopsida, Proteales, Nelumbonaceae.